RNAcentral lists this ribosomal RNA (1456 nucleotides) under Schoutedenocoptes aquilae. Its description in RNAcentral is "eukaryotic LSU rRNA". It matches the Rfam family "Eukaryotic large subunit ribosomal RNA", at positions 73 to 1269 of the family's 3401-position model. Lineage: Eukaryota; Metazoa; Arthropoda; Arachnida; Sarcoptiformes; Turbinoptidae. The record is from RNAcentral.
GAUUCCCUUAGUAACGGCGAGCGAACAGGGAACAGUCCAGCGCCAAGUCUUGACACUUUGGUGCUCAAGAGAUGCGGCGUUAAUGUGUUGGCGCGUCGUGCAUUGCUUGGCGUUUCAAGUUCCUUUGACAGGGACACCCAAAGUGGGUGCUAGGCCCAUAGAAGCGCAGAGCCGAUGCAUGCAGGCCGAUGCAUUCUAGAGUCAGGUUGCUUGAGAGUGCAGCUUAAAGUCGGUGGUAAACUCCAUCCAAGACUAAAUAUGACAGCGAGACCGAUAGCAAACAAGUACCGUGAGGGAAAGUUGCAAAGCACUUUGAAGAGAGAGUUCAACAGUACGUGAAACCACUGGGAGGAAAGCAGAUAGAACCACGAAGUUUGCGCUUCUGGCGAUUCAAUCAUUGCUGACCGGUAAUGGCGCCAGUCAGGGGAUCUUCACGGAGAUCARGCUGGUGGUGUUGAGCCGGGCGGCAUUGGUGCAUUUCGUACAGAAGAUGCUAAGCCACGUUCGGUCAGAGGGCUGGGACAGCCGUAGGAAAGGAACCGAGAAAGGUGACCGUCAAACGCUUGCGUGUGGCGGUGUUAUAGGCUCGGUUUGGCACUGUCGCCAGCGAACUGGUCGAUAGAAUUGCUCCCCGAAUUGGAGUUUUGUGAACCGUGCUUGCCAUGAUCCAUUAGUGAACAUUUGGGGACGUCGUUUGCGUGCCUCCGGGUGCGGAAAGCCGUCAGCAAAGUUGUUAGCUCGAUUGGAUCACGUUGCAUGGUGCGGUGUUAAACUGUGGCGCGAGUAGGUCGGUGUCUAUCUGACCCGUCUUGAAACACGGACCAAGGAGCCUAUCAUAUACGCGAGUCGCUCGGUCUUGUUCAGGCCUGGGAGGCAAAAUGAAAGUGAAACUACGAUGCUCUAGGGCAGCAGUAGUGGCCCGCUUACUUCGUUUGUUUGGCGAUCAGGCGGAGCUGGAGCGUAUACGAUGGUACCCGAAAGAUGGUGAACUAUGCCUGGGCAAGACGAAGCCAGAGGAAACUCUGGUGGAGGUCUGUAGCGAUUCUGACGUGCAAAUCGAUCGUCAGACCUGGGUAUAGGGGCGAAAGACUAAUCGAACCAUCUAGUAGCUGGUUCCCUCCGAAGUUUCCCUCAGGAUAGCAGGCGUUCAUGGAACUUUUAGUAAAAGCAGUCUCAUCCGGUAAAGCUAAUGAUUAGAGGCCUUGGGGUUGAAACGACCUCAACCUAUUCUCAAACUUUAAAUGGGUGAGAUGGUUGACUUGCUUGAGAAAGAGAAAAACUUUGAAGCCAACCAAUUGGAUGCGAAUGCCUAGUGGGCCAUUUUUGGUAAGCAGAACUGGCGCUGUGGGAUGAACCAAACGUCGAGAUAAGGCAUCAAAUGCAUACGCUCAUCAGACCCCAUAAAAGGUGUUGGUUGCUAUAGACAGCAGGACGGUGGCCAUGGAAGUCGGAAUCC